RNAcentral lists this ribosomal RNA (468 nucleotides) under uncultured bacterium. RNAcentral's name for it is "partial 16S ribosomal RNA". It matches the Rfam family "Bacterial small subunit ribosomal RNA", at positions 28 to 507 of the family's 1533-position model. The record is from RNAcentral.
GACGAACGCUGGCGGCGUGCUUAACACAUGCAAGUCGAACGGAAAGGCCCUGCUUUUGUGGGGUGCUCGAGUGGCGAACGGGUGAGUAACACGCGAGUAACCUGCCCUUGACUUUGGGAUAACUUCAGGAAACUGGGGCUAAUACCGGAUAGGAGCUCCUGCUGCAUGGUGGGGGUUGGAAAGUUUCGGCGGUUGGGGAUGGACUCGCGGCUUAUCGGCUUGUUGGUGGGGUAGUGGCUUACCAAGGCUUUGACGGGUAGCCGGCCUGAGAGGGUGACCGGCCACAUUGGGACUGAGAUACGGCCCAGACUCCUACGGGAGGCAGCAGUGGGGAAUAUUGCACAAUGGGCGGAAGCCUGAUGCAGCAACGCCGCGUGCGGGAUGACGGCCUUCGGGUUGUAAACCGCUUUCGCCUGUGACGAAGCGUGAGUGACGGUAAUGGGUAAAGAAGCACCGGCUAACUACGUG